UACAGAGGUGGCAAGCGUUGUUCGGAAUUACUGGGCGUAAAGGGCGCGUAGGCGGCCUUCUAAGUCAGACGUGAAAUCCCCCGGCUUAACCUGGGAACUGCGUCUGAUACUGGGAGGCUUGAGUAUGGGAGAGGGAUGUAGAAUUCCAGGUGUAGCGGUGAAAUGCGUAGAUAUCUGGAGGAAUACCGGUGGCGAAGGCGGCAUCCUGGACCAUUACUGACGCUGAAUCGCGAAAGCUAGGGGAGCAAACGGG
RNAcentral lists this ribosomal RNA (253 nucleotides) under uncultured bacterium. Its description in RNAcentral is "partial 16S ribosomal RNA". It matches the Rfam family "Bacterial small subunit ribosomal RNA", at positions 524 to 776 of the family's 1533-position model. The record is from RNAcentral.